UACGGGGGGGGCAAGCGUUGUUCGGAAUUACUGGGCGUAAAGGGCGCGUAGGCGGUUGGAUAAGUCAGCUGUGAAAUCCCCGGGCUUAACCUGGGAAUGGCAUUUGGGACUGCAAGGCUCGAGUGCGGCAGAGGAGACUGGAAUUCCUGGUGUAGCAGUGAAAUGCGUAGAUAUCAGGAGGAACACCGAUGGCGAAGGCAGGUCUCUGGGCUGACACUGACGCUCAUGCACGAAAGCGUGGGGAGCAAACAGG
Molecule: ribosomal RNA, 253 nt
Filed under: uncultured bacterium
Lineage: Bacteria
Description: partial 16S ribosomal RNA
Rfam family: Bacterial small subunit ribosomal RNA
Source: RNAcentral